Molecule: long non-coding RNA, 579 nt
Organism: Cyprinus carpio carpio
Lineage: Eukaryota; Metazoa; Chordata; Actinopteri; Cypriniformes; Cyprinidae
Source: Ensembl
UAGCACUCGUUUGCCCGGUGACUUCAUUUAGAUGAGGAUUCUCUUGGGAUAAAAUGGAGAGAGGAAACAAGAGAAAGAAAGACAGAUUGUAGUGAAGUCUGGUCUACUGAACAGGAUCAACGCUCACAGCUCAGACUGAAAGUUAACUAAAAAAAAAAACAGAAGACAAGAACUGUCUGAUAUCUGCUCCCUUGUCUCGGGAAGAAACUGCUGGGAAGGAGGGGAGGAAGAAACAGAGGAAAUGUGUGAUAGCUUCCGCACAUCCUCCCAAGACAGUACUUCCACUAGGAAAAAGUAGAAGAAAAAUGCACGUGUAUUGCCUGUUCAGAUGAUCCACUGGUGAGCAAGUGAUGUAAUGCUAAAUUUCUCCAAAUCUGUUCAGAUGAAGAAACAAACUCAGAUACAUCUUGGAGUGAGUAAGGGUGAGUACUUGUUUUUAACAUAAUUUACUUAUUUUAGAUUUCCCACCCAGGAAACUAGACUAAAUAUCUUAUGUCGUUUUGCUUAUCUAGUAAAUUCAUCGUAAUUUAAGAAUUUUUUUAGAUAUAUUUUGACUAGAAACAAGACAAAAAGACUAUA